GGUACAACAGUGGAAGAGGAGACUUAGUUCGCUGACACCUCGGCUCCACAGCAGUCCCAUGGAAAUCCAGCACACGGCUUCACGGCACACACCUCCUUCCUAACGGUCACAGGGACACAGAUUGAGUUGGUGGAUUAUGCAGUUUAAUGGUUCUGACCAUAACAACAAAUAAUAAUUUAAACAAAAUCUGUUUUUACUAAAAUGUCAAAAAAACAGAGAAGAUAUGUGGAUUUCCCAGCUGAGUGGCCUAUUUUAUAGAUCUACUCAUAAACCAGAAAGGAAAACUUUGGAGGUUUAUUUUACUCUUCAGGGAUCUAGAGCUGCUGUUGGUGUGAAGAGCCUUUUUUGUGGUCUGUGGAUUCCUUUUACUGUUU
Molecule: long non-coding RNA, 374 nt
Filed under: Apteryx rowi (Okarito brown kiwi)
Lineage: Eukaryota; Metazoa; Chordata; Aves; Apterygiformes; Apterygidae
Description: lncRNA (ENSARWG00000001622.1)
Source: RNAcentral